Molecule: non-coding RNA, 86 nt
Organism: Trichonephila clavata
Lineage: Eukaryota; Metazoa; Arthropoda; Arachnida; Araneae; Nephilidae
Source: the annotation of a GenBank genome assembly
GUCCCUGUAGCGCAAUGGAUAGCGCGUUAGACAUCUAAUCUAAUCGGUUAGACAUCGGUCAUGGGUUUCGAAUCCCACCUGAGAUG